CCUACGGGAGGCAGCAGUGGGGAAUCUUCCGCAAUGGGCGUAAGACUGAACCAGCAACGCAGCGUGCACGAAUACAGGCCUACGGGUUGUAAAGUUCUGUUGAGCGGGACGAAUAAGCCAUGCGAGUGGUUUGGUGUAUGUCCGUCCUUGUUUAGAAAGCUCUGGUUACCUACGUGCCAGCAGCCGCGGUAAUACGUAGGGGGCGAGAGUUGUCCGGAUUUAGUGGGCGUAAAGGGUGCGUAGGUGGGUGCUUAAGCCAGGUGUGAAAUGUCGGGGCUCAACCUGGGGACUGGCCUUGAAACUGGGUAUCUUGAGGGCACGGAAGGAAAGUGGAAUUCGUGGUGUAGCGGUGAAAUGCGUAGAUAUUAGGAGGAACACCAGUGGCGAAGGCGACUUUCGGGAGUGUAACUGACGCUGAGGCGCGAAGGCGUGGGUAGCGAACGGGAUUAGAUACCCUAGUAGUC
This 464-nucleotide ribosomal RNA is filed under the name uncultured bacterium. Its description in RNAcentral is "partial 16S ribosomal RNA". It matches the Rfam family "Bacterial small subunit ribosomal RNA", at positions 338 to 795 of the family's 1533-position model. The record is from RNAcentral.